This is a long non-coding RNA of Tetranychus urticae (two-spotted spider mite), 1982 nucleotides long. RefSeq lists it as uncharacterized. Lineage: Eukaryota; Metazoa; Arthropoda; Arachnida; Trombidiformes; Tetranychidae. The record is from RefSeq and is a predicted model, not a curated record.
UUGAUCAAAUUGUACACAAUUAAUUGAAGAUUCAAGCUAAGAGGUCAUCGGGAUGGUAGUGAAUACAAGAGAAACAGUGACUGGUAAAAAUAAGAAUGAAAACAAAUGUUCACCAUCAAGCAGAGAGAGAAGAGGGUGAAGCAUAAUGGACUACAUAAUGCUUCACCGUUGCAAGUCAGUUUCAUUAAGCUAGCUUUAGAGAAUCGGAUUUACGGUCAUUUUUACAAGUUUAAUGUAAAUCCAAAUUGUACAAUAAUUUUGUAACUUUGUUGACCGGAACGCAAAAAAGUCAUUAAACAAGAUAAGGCAAGAAAACAAAACAAAGCCAAAAAUGUAAAACAAAAGACCGUUUUAAGCUAUCAAAAGAUAUGCAAAAAUAGUAGACGCAAUUACCAAUAUAUCGACAAUCGAUUAUACAUUUAGCUUUUUUUCCCUUUUGAUUUCUUGUUUUAUGUUAAUGUUUUUUUGGUAAUAAUUCAGUCACUUAAUCAUGCAAUGUGAAGCCUUAAUUUUCAACUCUAAAACCAAUUAAUUCAACUGAGAUCAUCAUUUUCCAGACGCUACUUUAAGAUGUCUUCAGACCACGGAAUGACAAUCAAUCAAAUUGGUUAUGGACUAUAAAUCGAGAUUAAACUCAUGAUGUUGAUAAUACAGGAAAUUGAUAGAUGACAACAAUCUGUUACCUAUUAAGACAAUUGGUUGACAUUUACCAAACAUUUUUACACUUUACCGGUUGAUUUCCGGUCAACUGCAAGAGUACAGUAGCUUCCUGAUAUCAGUUCUGGUGCAAUUUAUCUAAAAUUAACAACAUCUUGUGAUUAGUCAAAGGAGAAAACUUGUUCUGGUGUAAAAAAUUUUUCGUCUAUCCUCUAAAAUGUAUCCACUUGACUCGCUUUUUUUUGCAUUGUAAUGUGUUGCAAAAAUUUGCCCCAACUACCUACAGAAGUAAUACAUAGAGGAGAAGUUGCUGAUCAAAAAAGGUAACGAAUUGAGAGUAAGAAAAAGGUAGAUCUGAUCCAUUGGAUAAACCGGUUUAUCAAAGCUGAUCAGGUUGAAAGGCAGGUUGAAAUAUUUUGUAAGACUAGAUGAACAGCCAGAGUAAGGUGCCUAUUGCAGAAGCAAAAUGAUGUUCCUUUGGUUGAAAUGAAUCAAUUUUUGGUCAAAGCCAGGAAAAAAAAUCUAGACACAUUGACAUGGCCUCGGAAUAAUCAGGCAAUUUCAGCAGUUAUUUGGUUAUUGUUUUACAUUUUUGGCAUCCACUGCAUAAAUCAUCAGCUAACUCAAACAUCAUAAUCAAGUACUCAAUAUUCAACAGGUGUUGCCGUUGUAAAGCUUUAGAGGAUCAUUUCUGUUAAUCACUGGUCAGUCUGGACCAUUUCAUCAUUCAAUGUUAACAUGGAUGGUAACUUUACAUGCUGAUUCUCAUUGUAUUGCGUAUUGUAGGGAAAAAAUGAGCAUUCCAAAGCCAAGGAAGAAGGAGAAACCAGAAUAAAUAGUGAGAAAAAAACAAGACUCACAGUGUUUAGAGUUACCUGCCUGUCUUCCCUGUAAACAGGAAGAGAAAAAAGGAAAAAGAAAAGAACAGAAGAAGAGGCUAGAAAAAGAAAGAGGGAAAAAAUGAAGAAACCUGAUGAUUGUUGCGAAGCAAGGAAAGUAAGAAAAGUAUAAAGGUGAGUGAGACAGGAAAUCAUCAUGAGCCAGAAUAAUCUGUAAACCGCAUAUUCUCAGGCUAAAUUUAAUGAUCCUUAUCGACAUUUGACUGAAACUUUGUUUGAUAUUCUGAGCUUAUCAUUCAUCAAGAAAAAAAUACAGCUCUUGAUAAUUAUCUCCUUUGCCAUUCAUCAUCAUUACCAUCUCAUUUUUUCAUCCUAGUCAACUUUUACCCUUAAAUUUUUGCCCAUAAUAAUAUACUUAUUGUUUUUUCAACUCUUCAACCAAUUCUCUUAAACAUUAGAUUAAAGCAACUCUUUAUUAUAAAUUAU